RNAcentral lists this ribosomal RNA (503 nucleotides) under uncultured bacterium. RNAcentral describes it as "partial 16S ribosomal RNA". It matches the Rfam family "Bacterial small subunit ribosomal RNA", at positions 29 to 523 of the family's 1533-position model. The record is from RNAcentral.
AAUGAACGCUGGCGGCGUGUCUUAAGCAUGCAAGUCGUGCGGCAAGGGUAGCAAUACCCCUAGAGCGCCGGACUGGUGAUUAACGCCGUGGUGAUCAGCCCGUGGGUUGGGGUUAGCCGUAGGAAAAAGUGGGUAAUACCCAAUACGAUGGCGAGACGGUGGGCUUGUCAGGGAAGGCGCUUCGGCGCCCUCCGAGGAUGCGCCCGCGUCCCGGUAGCUAGUUGGUGAGGUAACGGCCCACCAAGGCGAUGGUGGGUAGGCGGCAUGAGAGGGUGUACGCCCACACUGGGACUGAGAUACGGCCCAGACUCCUACGGGAGGCAGCAGCUAAGAAUAUUCCGCAAUGGACGAAAGUCUGACGGAGCGACGCCGCGUGGAUGACGAAGGCCGGAAGGUUGUAAAAUCCUUUUGGUGGGGAAGAAUAAGGCUGGGAGGGAAUGCCCGGCUGAUGACAUGAACCGACGAAUAAGUCCCGGCUAACUACGUGCCAGCCGCCGCCGUAA